Molecule: long non-coding RNA, 545 nt
Filed under: Ursus americanus (American black bear)
Lineage: Eukaryota; Metazoa; Chordata; Mammalia; Carnivora; Ursidae
Description: lncRNA (ENSUAMG00000017215.1)
Source: RNAcentral
GCAGCAGGUGGUGGCAGUUACUACCCCAGCCAUGACGGGUCCGGAAACACGCACGACGGAGACGGAUACUCGACCUACGGGAACGCACAGGGUAACACAGUAGCAAAAAUCGUGUCUCCCAUCGUGUCUGUGCUGGUGGUCACGCUGGUGGGGGCGGCGGCUGGUUAUUGCCAACGGAACAGAAGAAGAAACUGUUUCAGGGCAAAUGGCAAGUUUCUGGCUCUAAAAAUACUUCCUGGAGUCUGUCACUGGGCAGGGUUCUUUCUGGGUACGUCCCCUCGAGCGGCCUUGCCUAAGGAAGUGGUUUUAAGUUGGGUCCUCACGGAGGAUGCUUUUCUUUUUUUUUUUUCUCCAUAUUUUUAAGUAGCUUUGUGACCUGCAAAAGUGUGUGUUCCUGCCAGUAACUCACAUAGACUAAAACCUUAUCAGCUCAGGGUUGCAAUCGGCUGGGCUGAUACCAUGUUGAUGGAUCAUAAGAGACUCGGAAAGCAUUUGGGUUUGAACCUGCCGUGUUUGUAUUCCUCUCCAAAAACAAAAGUAUGGAA